CUUGCUUCUCUUGAGAGCGGCGGACGGGUGAGUAAUGCCUAGGAAUCUGCCUGGUAGUGGGGGAUAACGUCCGGAAACGGACGCUAAUACCGCAUACGUCCUACGGGAGAAAGCAGGGGACCUUCGGGCCUUGCGCUAUCAGAUGAGCCUAGGUCGGAUUAGCUAGUUGGUGGGGUAAUGGCUCACCAAGGCGACGAUCCGUAACUGGUCUGAGAGGAUGAUCAGUCACACUGGAACUGAGACACGGUCCAGACUCCUACGGGAGGCAGCAGUGGGGAAUAUUGGACAAUGGGCGAAAGCCUGAUCCAGCCAUGCCGCGUGUGUGAAGAAGGUCUUCGGAUUGUAAAGCACUUUAAGUUGGGAGGAAGGGCAGUAAAUUAAUACUUUGCUGUUUUGACGUUACCGACAGAAUAAGCACCGGCUAACUCUGUGCCAGCAGCCGCGGUAAUACAGAGGGUGCAAGCGUUAAUCGGAAUUACUGGGCGUAAAGCGCGCGUAGGUGGUUCGUUAAGUUGGAUGUGAAAUCCCCGGGCUCAACCUGGGAACUGCAUUCAAAACUGACGAGCUAGAGUAUGGUAGAGGGUGGUGGAAUUUCCUGUGUAGCGGUGAAAUGCGUAGAUAUAGGAAGGAACACCAGUGGCGAAGCGACCACCUGGACUGAUACUGACACUGAGGUGCGAAAGCGUGGGGAGCAAACAGGA
RNAcentral lists this ribosomal RNA (701 nucleotides) under uncultured bacterium. RNAcentral describes it as "bacterial SSU rRNA". It matches the Rfam family "Bacterial small subunit ribosomal RNA", at positions 79 to 777 of the family's 1533-position model. The record is from RNAcentral.